Molecule: ribosomal RNA, 572 nt
Filed under: uncultured fungus
Lineage: Eukaryota; Fungi
Description: eukaryotic LSU rRNA
Rfam family: Eukaryotic large subunit ribosomal RNA
Source: RNAcentral
AAACCAACAGGGAUUACCUCAGUAACGGCGAGUGAAGCGGUAACAGCCCAAAUUUGAAAUCUGGGUCUUUCAGGCUCCGAGUUGUAAUUUGUAGAAGAUGCUUCGGGUGCGGCUCCGGUCUAAGUUCCUUGGAACAGGACGUCAUAGAGGGUGAGAAUCCCGUAUGUGAUCGGUUGCUUGCGCCCAUGUGAAGCUCUUUCGACGAGUCGAGUUGUUUGGGAAUGCAGCUCAAAAUGGGUGGUAAAUUUCAUCUAAAGCUAAAUAUUGACCAGAGACCGAUAGCGCACAAGUAGAGUGAUCGAAAGAUGAAAAGCACUUUGGAAAGAGAGUUAAACAGUACGUGAAAUUGUUGAAAGGGAAGCGCUUGCAACCAGACUUGCGCGUUGCCGAUCAUCCGGGGUUCUCCCCGGUGCACUCGGCCUCGCUCAGGCCAGCAUCGGUUUUGGUGGUGGGAUAAAGGCCUUGGGAAUGUAGCUCCUUUCGGGGAGUGUUAUAGCCCUCGGUGCAAUGCCGCCUACCGGGACCGAGGACCGCGCUUCGGCUAGGAUGCUGGCGUAAUGGUUGUAAGCGAC